GCACUGCUGAGGAGUCCUACAACAGGACGAAAGGAUCAUCCAGUGC
RNAcentral lists this non-coding RNA (46 nucleotides) under Schistosoma margrebowiei. Lineage: Eukaryota; Metazoa; Platyhelminthes; Trematoda; Strigeidida; Schistosomatidae. The record is from RNAcentral.